Molecule: long non-coding RNA, 1180 nt
Filed under: Sinocyclocheilus anshuiensis
Lineage: Eukaryota; Metazoa; Chordata; Actinopteri; Cypriniformes; Cyprinidae
Description: lncRNA (ENSSANG00000029775.1)
Source: RNAcentral
NNNNNNNNNNNNNNNNNNNNNNNNNNNUCAGUAUCUAUGUUGAAGAAAGUAAGUGGUAUCCAAUCUCAGGCACUAAGAAUAGGAAGUGGGGCAUUUAGAACAUCGCCAGUCUCAGCGAUGCAGGUGGAAAUGGCGGAGUUGCCUUUAGACCUCCGGAGACUUAAGUUAAAGAUGGCAUACUGGUGUUCUGUAAGGGGGCAUGUAGAAACCCAUCCAGUCAAAGAUGUUUUACAGAAAUGUUGGGAACAUGAGUAUAUAAAUUAUUGUAGUUUUGGAUGGAAUGCCAACGCAGAUGCUAAGAAGGUAGGAAUUAAUGACAUAAAAAUAAGUUCAACGGUAGCAAUACCAAUUAUACCCCCUUGGCUGUUCCGCAUGCCAAUGGUAGAUCUUCAGUUGCAUUUUAAAAUAAAUGAAAAGGAAAGGUGUAUGCCUAAAGAAAUAGUAGUGGAUCACUAUUUGAAACAAAACUAUUUUAAUAGUAUUCAAAUAUAUACGGAUGGGUCAAAAAAUCCAGAUUCUGGGUAUACAGCAGCAGCCAUAUAUAUUCCCUAUUUUAAAUAUAGCACAGUUAAAAGGUUAUCUAACGAUGUAUCUGUAUUCACAACAGAAAUGGUGGCAAUUCUAAUGGCUUUGCAGUGGGUGGAAGAAAUCAAUCCUAUAAGUGUAGUAGUUUGUUCAGAUUCAUAUUCAGUAUUAAACAGUUUAAAUAGUGGGAAAUCAGCAUCUAGACAGGAUAUACUUUAUGAAAUUUUACAGAAUUUAUAUAGAAUAAACCAAACAGGAGUAAGAGUAGAGUUUUUAUGGAUACCUGCCCAUGUAGGUGUAGAAGGGAAUGAGGAGGUGGAUAAGCUGGCCAAGUCAGCAUUGAGAAAAGAAGAGAUUGACAUAGAAAUUCCUUUAAGUAAAACAGAAGUAAAAGGUAUUAUUAAAACAGCAGUUGGAAGUAUGUGGCAAGACGUAUGGAAUAAAGAGUCAAAAGGGAGACACUUAUUUAGUAUUCAACAGAAAGUGGGGAUUGAAAGAAAGGUAUAUGGAAACAGAAGAGAAGAUACUGUUAUAACCAGGAUCCGUAUAGGACACUCUAACCUUAAUUAUUCAUUGCAUAUAAUAGGAAAAAGUGAGUCAGAUAGCUGCAGUUACUGUGGAAUAACAGAAACAGUUGAACAUGUGCUCUUACAUU